This 395-nucleotide ribosomal RNA is filed under the name Barytelphusa cunicularis. RNAcentral's name for it is "partial 12S ribosomal RNA". The record is from RNAcentral. Lineage: Eukaryota; Metazoa; Arthropoda; Malacostraca; Decapoda; Gecarcinucidae.
GAAUAUUAUUUUAUAAUAUACUAGGAUUAUUAAUAGUUAUUUACUUAAAAUUUAAAGAAUUUGGCGGUAGUUUAGUCCAGUUAGAGGAACCUGUUUUAAGAAUUAAAUCGAUAAACCACGUAGAAUCUUACUUAUUUUAGUUAUAAUUAGUUUGUAUACCAUCAUUAUUAGAUAAUUUUAUAAAGAUAGUAAUUAUUGAAGUGAAUUAUGUUAAAUAAAUUAGAUCAAGGUGCAGCUUAUAAAUAAGUUAAAAUGGGUUACAAUAAAUUUUAUUUAUUACGAAAUAAUUUAGGAAUAUAGAGAUUAGGAAGGAGGAUUUAAUUGUAAUAUAAAUUUAAUAAGUUUAUGUGAUAAAGGUUCUAAAUUAUGUACACACCGCCCGUCACCCAAACAAA